AUUGAGCGCUGGCGGCAGGCCUAACACAUGCAAGUCGAGCGGAUGAAGGGAGCUUGCUCCUGGAUUCAGCGGCGGACGGGUGAGUAAUGCCUAGGAAUCUGCCUGGUAGUGGGGGAUAACGUCCAGAAACGGGCGCUAAUACCGCAUACGUCCUGAGGGAGAAAGUGGGGGAUCUUCGGACCUCACGCUAUCAGAUGAGCCUAGGUCGGAUUAGCUAGUUGGUGGGGUAAAGGCCUACCAAGGCGACGAUCCGUAACUGGUCUGAGAGGAUGAUCAGUCACACUGGAACUGAGACACGGUCCAGACUCCUACGGGAGGCAGCAGUGGGGAAUAUUGGACAAUGGGCGAAAGCCUGAUCCAGCCAUGCCGCGUGUGUGAAGAAGGUCUUCGGAUUGUAAAGCACUUUAAGUUGGGAGGAAGGGCAGUAAGUUAAUACCUUGCUGUUUUGACGUUACCAACAGAAUAAGCACCGGCUAACUUCGUG
RNAcentral lists this ribosomal RNA (484 nucleotides) under uncultured bacterium. RNAcentral's name for it is "partial 16S ribosomal RNA". It matches the Rfam family "Bacterial small subunit ribosomal RNA", at positions 30 to 507 of the family's 1533-position model. The record is from RNAcentral.